GACGAACGCUGGCGGCGUGCCUAAUACAUGCAAGUAGAACGCACAGUUUAUACCGUAGCUUGAUACACCAUAGACUGUGAGUUGCGAACGGGUGAGUAACGCGUAGGUAACCUGCCUGGUAGCGGGGGAUAACUAUUGGAAACGAUAGCUAAUACCGCAUAAUAUUAAUUAUUGCAUGAUAAUUAAUUGAAAGGUGCAAUUGCACCACUACCAGAUGGACCUGCGUUGUAUUAGCUAGUAGGUGAGGUAACGGCUCACCUAGGCGACGAUACAUAGCCGACCUGAGAGGGUGAUCGGCCACACUGUGACUGAGACACGGCCCAGACUCCUACGGGAGGCAGCAGUAGGGAAUCUUCGGCAAUGGACGAAAGUCUGACCGAGCAACGCCGCGUGAGUGAAGAAGGUUUUCGGAUCGUAAAGCUCUGUUGUAAGAGAAGAACGGGUGUUAGAGUGGAAAGUUCACACUGUGACGGUAUCUUACCAGAAAGGGACGGCUAACUACGUG
RNAcentral lists this ribosomal RNA (505 nucleotides) under uncultured bacterium. RNAcentral describes it as "partial 16S ribosomal RNA". It matches the Rfam family "Bacterial small subunit ribosomal RNA", at positions 28 to 507 of the family's 1533-position model. The record is from RNAcentral.